UACAGAGGGGGCAAGCGUUGUUCGGAAUUACUGGGCGUAAAGGGCGCGUAGGCGGCCUUCUAAGUCGAACGUGAAAUCCCCGGGCUCAACCCGGGAACUGCGUCCGAUACUGGAAGGCUUGAAUCCGGGAGAGGGAUGCGGAAUUCCAGGUGUAGCGGUGAAAUGCGUAGAUAUCUGGAGGAACACCGGUGGCGAAGGCGGCAUCCUGGACCGGCAUUGACGCUGAGGCGCGAAAGCCAAGGGAGCAAACGGG
RNAcentral lists this ribosomal RNA (253 nucleotides) under uncultured bacterium. RNAcentral describes it as "partial 16S ribosomal RNA". It matches the Rfam family "Bacterial small subunit ribosomal RNA", at positions 524 to 776 of the family's 1533-position model. The record is from RNAcentral.